AACGAUGUCGACUUGGAGGUUGUGCCCUUGAGGCGUGGCUUCCGGAGCUAACGCGUUAAGUCGACCGCCUGGGGAGUACGGCCGCAAGGUUAAAACUCAAAUGAAUUGACGGGGGCCCGCACAAGCGGUGGAGCAUGUGGUUUAAUUCGAUGCAACGCGAAGAACCUUACCUACUCUUGACAUCCAGAGAACUUAGCAGAGAUGCUUUGGUGCCUUCGGGAACUCUGAGACAGGUGCUGCAUGGC
RNAcentral lists this ribosomal RNA (245 nucleotides) under Morganella morganii. Its description in RNAcentral is "partial 16S ribosomal RNA". It matches the Rfam family "Bacterial small subunit ribosomal RNA", at positions 805 to 1049 of the family's 1533-position model. The record is from RNAcentral. Lineage: Bacteria; Pseudomonadati; Pseudomonadota; Gammaproteobacteria; Enterobacterales; Morganellaceae.